Molecule: ribosomal RNA, 253 nt
Filed under: uncultured bacterium
Lineage: Bacteria
Description: partial 16S ribosomal RNA
Rfam family: Bacterial small subunit ribosomal RNA
Source: RNAcentral
UACGUAGGGGGCAAGCGUUGUCCGGAUUUAUUGGGCGUAAAGAGCGUGUAGGCGGCUGGGUAGGUCCGCUGUGAAAACUCGAGGCUCAACCUCGAGACGUCGGUGGAAACCGUUUGGCUAGAGUCCGGAAGAGGAGAGUGGAAUUCCCGGUGUAGCGGUGAAAUGCGCAGAUAUCGGGAAGAACACCCGUGGCGAAGGCGGCUCUCUGGGACGGUACUGACGCUGAGACGCGAAAGCGUGGGGAGCGAACAGG